This 441-nucleotide unclassified non-coding RNA is filed under the name Hevea brasiliensis (rubber tree). Lineage: Eukaryota; Viridiplantae; Streptophyta; Magnoliopsida; Malpighiales; Euphorbiaceae. The record is from RNAcentral.
UUUUUACUUUGAUUACAGUUCGUUUCAUGGAUUGCUUCCGCCAAAUGAUCGUUAAAAUGGAGCUUACUUCUGUGUUUUGCUUCAUUCAAGUGCUGUAAUAUAAUAAAAUUGCAUAAAGAUUGUGAUUGAGAGUAGUUUUAUGUUAGCAAUGGGAUUUCUAAUGCUUAAUUCAACGGGGCCACCGAUAAAACGAAGGGCGGGUUUGAGGAUAAAACAAGCUGGAAGAGGUUCUUAUCGGGGCAGCUAGAGAAGGCUUUUUAGUGAUAUAAUUUGGCCGUAUUUGUUGUAUGUAUUAGAUAUUUGUGUAUUUAUUGGAAAGUCAAACGAAUGGGAACUACUGCUUUGAGGCAGCUGUUGAAAAGUCUUUGCAAUGAUUCGCUUUGGAAUUAUGCCGUGCUAUGGAAGCUUAGGCAUGAGAGCCCAAUGAUUUUGACUUGGGAA